RNAcentral lists this unclassified non-coding RNA (1623 nucleotides) under Limulus polyphemus (Atlantic horseshoe crab). Its description in RNAcentral is "nucleoporin NUP53-like, transcript variant X2". The record is from RNAcentral. Lineage: Eukaryota; Metazoa; Arthropoda; Merostomata; Xiphosura; Limulidae.
GUUUGAGAGAAAAAAGUGCAUGAGGUUUGGUUAAACAAACUUGAGCCCGUGAGUGUGAAGGAGGUAGGCUUAGCUCAAAGUCAAAUAAUUGAAAUAUCGUGGUACUAGUACCAUGGUUGAACCAGUGACCUUGGGCUCACCUCCAAAUAACCCAUCUCCAGGGCAGUCGAAGUCAGUAUUUACCUGCAUAUUUGAUUGGUGAUCAGUGUGGAAAUAUUAGCCAAACUACUCCUAGACUAUGGUCAACAGUAGGAACUCCUACAAAAGCACGUGUCAAUUCAUCGUCACCUUCCACACCAGGUAUUUACUCUCCUGCUGCUGCUAGGACUGGGUUUGGCAAAACUAACUUAUCUAUGAGCAACCAGGGAGAUAUUACUGCAAGGAACCUUUUAGGUCGUCAGCCCACUGAUAAAGCAGGAGGACCACCUGUCCAGGGUCUUUUUGAUACUUUAGCCACUUCUCAGUCACAGACAUCUGGCAUAUCUAGGGUUCCUUGCACUUCUUUAUUCAGUUCUCCUUCUCCAGAAGGUCAAAUACAAAAUACCAGAGUACUGACACCUACUAAGUGCAUGAAUCAAGGUCAAGCCAGCAAGCUUUUAACAUCACCAGCACAGAUAGAUCCAUUUUAUACCCAAGGUGACUCCUUGUCUCCUGAUGAAGAACUUGAUGGGACGUGGGUAACAGUUUUUGGAUACCCUUCUGCUUCAGCUUCAUAUAUUCUACAACAGUUUUCACUCUAUGGUACCGUUGUUGAACAUCAGGUCUCAGCUUGUGGCAAUUGGAUGCACAUUCACUUCCAGUCAAAACUUCAAGCUAAGAAAGCUCUCAGUAAAAAUGGCAAAGUUUUUGGGGGAAGUAUCAUGGUUGGUGUUAAGCCUUGUAUAGAAAAAGUAAAAACUGAUGGAUGCAUCUACAAAAGAAAAUUCUAUGCUAGAAAUGAGCACGUCUUCCUUCCAAAGGAAUGAGACACUAAACAGAAGUAGUCGAAUAGCAAACAUCAGGCCUCUCACUCAGGCUUACAAAACAGCGAUUAGUGAUUAUGAGGUAGUGUCCCAGAGUCAAACACCACAGAAGACAAACAACUUUAUAUCAAAAGCUAUGGAAUAUGUUUUUGGAUGGUGACCUGAUAAAUGCUUAGUCCAAUUUUGAACUUAUGGGGUUUUUAUUGUCUAUGUUAGGGAAAUAAUAAGUUUUUCAAGUACUGUUCUUGACAAGCAGGUGGUGAAAUGGAGAGCUAGAGUUAGUGAAACUGUAAAUAACAGACUACAAUUCAUGUUCUUUAUAACCACAUGUACUUUUUUAGCAAAAUAAAACUUUUUGGGGUGCUGGUGCUGUGUAAUAAUGCCUUUGAACUGUAAUUGUGUAAAAUAAUUGUUAAAAAAAAUCAAACAUUGUUUGUUAACUUCUCUGUGACAAUCAUCUAGUACAAUUUGAAUAUUCAUAUCAUAUGUAUAUAUUAUAUAGACCACAUUGUUGUACCCUUGACCUAUGAUAGAUCUUUCAGUGAUAAUGUACUCCAAAAGGAAUCUUGUUAUGCUUAUUCUUAUUACAAAAUCCUUACAAUGAUUCUUUUCUAUAUUGAUUUGCACCUAAAAUGGAAAUAAAGAAUUUUUUAUCAGAUUA